UGGGGAAUAUUGGACAAUGGGGGCAACCCUGAUCCAGCCAUGCCGCGUGAGUGAAGAAGGCCUUCGGGUUGUAAAGCUCUUUCGGCCGGGAAGAAAUCGUGGUCUCUAACAUAGGCCAUGGAUGACGGUACCGAACUAAGAAGCACCGGCUAACUACGUGCCAGCAGCCGCGGUAAUACGUAGGGUGCGAGCGUUAACCGGAAUUACUGGGCGUAAAGCGUGCGCAGGCGGUUUUGUAAGACAGAUGUGAAAUCCCCGGGCUUAACCUGGGAACUGCGUUUGUGACUGCAAGGCUAGAGUACGGCAGAGGGGGGUGGAAUUCCUGGUGUAGCAGUGAAAUGCGUAGAGAUCAGGAGGAACACCGAUGGCGAAGGCAGCCCCCUGGGCCUGUACUGACGCUCAUGCACGAAAGCGUGGGGAGCAAACA
Molecule: ribosomal RNA, 427 nt
Filed under: uncultured bacterium
Lineage: Bacteria
Description: bacterial SSU rRNA
Rfam family: Bacterial small subunit ribosomal RNA
Source: RNAcentral